UAGUGGGCCGUGAUUGAGAGUAAUGAUUGAUUUGCUAGAAUGACAUGUAAUCGGCCGAGUCGAUUGAUCGCUGAGACGAUCCAAGUGGUUGAAUUGCUUUGAUAAUGUGAUUGAGCCAUGGUUGUUUGGUUAUCAUAAUUGCACGUGGUUGGUUUAUAUAAAUUGUGCUAACCUGCAGAUAAGGGCUGAGGCGAGGUAAGUCUUCUGUGUGAUGUGGCUAGGCCACCCGGGGCGUAUUUUCUUUCUAAUAGGGGUUUAGGGGGUUGAACUUGCUGAGACAUCGUCUCAUCCCGGUUGUGGGAUUAAAAUUUCAGGUCCCUGGUGGACGGAGCGGCCAGAUAGCUUUGGUUGGCCUUGAGGAGUUGCAGAGGUGAAGUCAUAAGGGUUGGAGAGCGUGUCCUGCUAGUUGGUUGUAGGAUAAUCCCCCUUUUGUCGAGCUGGUCUAUUUUGUAGAAAGUCCAGUGUUGUAUUUAAACCCCCUUUGCGUUUGUAAAUGAGUGUUUGGUAUUGUGAUUGAUUGCCUGCUUUUCUAUCCCAAG
RNAcentral lists this long non-coding RNA (539 nucleotides) under Eucalyptus grandis. RNAcentral describes it as "long non-coding RNA (EGRA_LNC002736)". The record is from RNAcentral. Lineage: Eukaryota; Viridiplantae; Streptophyta; Magnoliopsida; Myrtales; Myrtaceae.